This 446-nucleotide ribosomal RNA is filed under the name Pseudobdellovibrio exovorus. RNAcentral's name for it is "bacterial SSU rRNA". It matches the Rfam family "Bacterial small subunit ribosomal RNA", at positions 51 to 514 of the family's 1533-position model. Lineage: Bacteria; Pseudomonadati; Bdellovibrionota; Bdellovibrionia; Bdellovibrionales; Pseudobdellovibrionaceae. The record is from RNAcentral.
ANACNUGCAAGUCGAACGGGGAAAGCUUUCGGGUGAGUACUAGUGGCGCACGGGUGAGGAAUACAUGGGUAAUCUGCCCUCGAGUUGGGGAUAACUAGUCGAAAGAUUAGCUAAUACCGAAUAAGACCACAGGAUCUGCGGAUCUAGGGGUUAAAGGUUUUUCGCUUGAGGAUGAGCCCAUGUGGGAUUAGCUAGUUGGUGGGGUAAUGGCCUACCAAGGCGACGAUCCCUAACUGGUCUUAGAGGAUGAUCAGUCACACUGGAACUGAGACACGGUCCAGACUCCUACGGGAGGCAGCAGUAGGGAAUAUUGCACAAUGGGGGAAACCCUGAUGCAGCGACGCCGCGUGAGUGAUGAAGGCCUUCGGGUCGUAAAGCUCUGUCGUAUGGGACUAACACAAUGAAGGUNCCAUGCAAGAAAGGAUCGGCUAACUUCNUGCCNNCAG